Molecule: non-coding RNA, 440 nt
Organism: Arachis ipaensis
Lineage: Eukaryota; Viridiplantae; Streptophyta; Magnoliopsida; Fabales; Fabaceae
Source: RefSeq, a predicted model, not a curated record
GGAUCCACACAACAGAAGAUAGAAGAGGAAUUGGGGGUUAAGAUAAUAAUACCUACUUCAAAAGAAGAUGAUUUUGUUAGAAGCCAUGGAAUAGACAUAAAGGGGCCAACAAAAUGAGAUUGAGAACGUGCAAUGGAGUGGGGUGGUAGGCAUAAUAUAGCUGGAGUGAAACGAAAGAGAGACAUGAAGGCAUUUCCAAUCAGGGACAGCAGAAGAGCUAUUUGAUCCAAUGUUGCUUGGGGAUUAUACUUUCUAUUUAGUUUAAUUCUAGACUAGGUUUAUGUUUAUAUUUAACCUGAUUCUGAGCAGAUUGUUUUAUACACUUUUAGUGUAUGCUACAGUAUAGAUUCUAUAGGUUUUCUUUUUUUCAGUGGUAUUUGUUUUGAAUUAUAGUUGAUGUAUCAAUACACUUUAUUUAUGUUUUGAAUUAUAUUGACUUA